Non-coding RNA from Chiloscyllium plagiosum (whitespotted bambooshark), 560 nucleotides. The record is from RefSeq and is a predicted model, not a curated record. NCBI's taxonomy places the organism in Eukaryota, Metazoa, Chordata, Chondrichthyes, Orectolobiformes, Hemiscylliidae.
UGACUCUAGGGAGGGUGUGUAAAUGGUGCUGGUGACUAGGGAGGGUGUGUAAAUGGUGCAGGUGACUGUAGGGAGGGUGUGUAAAUGGUGCUGGUGACUGUAGGGAGGGUGUGUAAAUGGUGCAGGUGACUGUAGGGAGAGUGUGUUAAUGGUGCAGGUGACUGUAGGGAGUGUGUGUAAAUGGUGCAGGUGACUGUAGGGAGGGUGUGUAAAUGGUGCAGGUGACUGUAGGGAGGGUGUGUAAAUGGUGCUGGUGACUGUAGGGAGGGUGUGUAAAUGGUGCAGGUGACUGUAGGGAGGGUGUGUAAAUGGUGCUGGUGACUGUAGGGAGGGUGUGUAAAUGGUGCUGGUGACAGUCGGGAGGGUGUGUAAGUGGUACAGGUGACAAGGAAUGUGUGUAAAUGGUGCUGGUGACUGGAGGGAGGGUGUGUAAAUGGUGCAGGUGACAGUCGGGAGAGUGUGUUAAUGGUGCUCGUGACGAGGGACGGUGUGUAAAUAGUGCUGGUGACUGUAGGGAGGGUGUGUAAAUGGUGCAGGUGACUGUAGGGAGGGUGUGUAAA